AAACUAAUAAACAGUUUAGAAAUCCAAUUAGAUUAAUUUCCGAUAACCAAGAAUCUUCCAACUCAAGCCCUUACCGAUUAGAUCAUUUAAAUGAAGAAGAAAGAAUCAAUUUAAUCAGUUUGUUGACACAAUAUCAACACAUACAAUAUAAAGAAGGCAACCAACUUAGUUUCAGUAAUCAAGAAAAACACAUUAUAAAUACUACCCACAAUUCAGCCUUACAUACAAAACCAUACAGUUAUCCACAAGCAUAUGAACAGGAAGUUGAACAUCAAAUUCAAGACAUGCUUAAUCAAGGUAUCAUAAGGCCUAGCAAUUCUCCUUAUUGUAGUCCUAUAUGGAUCGUACCGAAAAAGCAAGAUGCUUCAGCGAUAGGCACCCAAUACCAAAUAUGGACGAGAUUUUAGGAAAACUAGGUAGAUGCAAUUAUUUCACUACAAUUGACCUUGCAAAAGGAUUCCACCAACUUGAAAUGCAUCCAGAUUCCAUUCAAAAAACAGCUUUCUCUACUAAACAUGGCCACUAUGAAUAUCUUCGUAUGCCAUUUGGAUUAAAAAAUGCACCCGCAACCUUUCAACGUUGCAUGAACAAUGUUUUACGACCGUUACUAAAUAAACAUUGUCUGGUAUAUCUUGAUGAUAUAAUUGUAUUCUCAACAUCCUUAGAAGAACAUUUGCAAUCACUCCAAUUAGUUUUCGAGAAGCUUUCUGAAGCAAAUCUCAAAUUACAACUUGAUAAAUGCGAGUUUCUAAAACAAGAAACUUCAUUCCUAGGACAUGUCAUAACUAAGGAUGGAAUAAAACCCAAUCCUGAUAAAAUCAAAGCAAUUCACAAAUAUCCAAUUCCCACAAAAACCAAAGAAAUAAAAGGUUUUCUUGGAUUAACCGGUUACUACAGAAAGUUCAUUCCAAAUUUUGCAGACAUAGCCAAACCAAUGACAGCAGUACUUAGAAAAGACUCAAAAAUCGACAUUAAAAAUCCUGAAUACAUUAGAGCUUUUGAAAAAUUGAAACAACUAAUUUCUAAUGACCCAAUUCUAAAAAUUCCAGACUUUAAAAGUAAAUUCGUUUUAACCACUGACGCAAGUAAUGUAGCUCUUGGAGCAGUACUCUCUCAAGACGGACAUCCCAUUAGUUUUAUUAGCAGAACUCUCAAUGAGCACGAAACUAACUACAGUGCCAUAGAAAAAGAGCUUUUAGCCAUUGUAUGGGCAACAAAAACUUUUAGACAUUACCUACUAGGACGACAUUUCGAAAUCAAUAGUGACCAUCAACCAUUAUGUUGGCUGUACAAAAUGAAAGAACCAAAUUCAAAAUUAACCCGAUGGAGAGUUAAAUUAUCUGAAUAUGACUUUGACACAAAACAUAUAAAAGGAAAAGAAAACCACAUAGCUGACGCUCUAUCACGAGUAAAAAUAGAACAGACUUAUUUCGGAGAAGAAACACAACAUAGCGCUGACGAAGACAAUAGUAAUUUAAUAUUCACUACAGAGAAACCAAUAAACACAUUUAAAAGACAAAUUAUAUUUUCUAAAGGCAUUCCAAACGUAAAAAAAGAAAAUUACUUCAAAAAAUUAAUAAUUCACAUUACAUACGAUAACAUGACUAAAGAUAAAGCCGAAAAAUAUUUAAUAGACCAUUUUUGCACAAAAACCAGUGCAAUAUUUAUAGACAGUGAUGCAGAUUUUGAAAUAAUUCAAAACGCACACAAGGAAAUUAUUAACACUAGCCAUACUAAAAUUCUUCGAAGUCUCAUUCAAUUAAAAAACAUUAACUCCUAUGCCGAAUUCAAAGAACUUAUUUUGAAAACCCAUGAAAAACUCCUACACCCCGGAAUUCAAAAAACAAAUAAACUUUUUUGUGAAACCUAUUAUUUCCCUAAUAGCCAAAUAUUAACACAAAACAUAAUAAACGAAUGUCAUAUUUGCAACUUAGCAAAAUCAGAACAUAGAAACACAAAAAUGCUAAUGAAAAUUACACCCAAGCCCGAACACUGUCGUGACAAAUUUGUAAUUGACAUUUAUUCUUCUGAAGGCAAACAUUAUCUUAGCUGCAUGGACAUUUAUUCAAAAUUCGCUACUCUUGAAAAUAUUAAAACAAAAGACUGGAUAGAAUGCAAAAAUGCAUUAAUGCGUAUAUUUAAUCAGUUAGGAAAACCAAUAUUAUUAAAAGCUGACCGAGACGGCGCAUUUUCCAGCUUAGCACUAAAAAAAUGGCUUGAAAGUGAAGGAGUAGAAAUACAAUUAAAUACAACAAAAACAGGAAUAGCAGACAUCGAAAGACUACAUAAAACAAUAAAUGAAAAAAUCAGAAUAAUUAACACUUUAAAUGACGAAGAAAAUAAACUCAGCAAAAUAGAAACAAUUCUUUACAUUUACAAUCACAAAACAAAACAUGACACAACUGGACAAACUCCUGCACACAUUUUCUUAUAUGCCGGACAACCAAAUUUAGAUACCCAAGGAAAAAAAGAAAAAAUAAUAAAUAAAAUGAACGGUGACCGACAAGAAUACGAAGUUGAUACUAGAUAUCGAAAAGGACCAUUACAAAAAGGAAAAUUAGAAAACCCUUUUAAAGCUAAUAAAAACGUUGAACAAACAGACCCAGACCAUUAUCGAAUUACUAACAGAAAUAGAAUUACACGCUACUAUAAAACACAAUUUAAAAAACGAAAGAAAUUUAAUCAAAUCUCAAUAC
Long non-coding RNA from Drosophila montana, 2696 nucleotides. RefSeq lists it as uncharacterized. Lineage: Eukaryota; Metazoa; Arthropoda; Insecta; Diptera; Drosophilidae. The record is from RefSeq and is a predicted model, not a curated record. The transcript has 2 exons.